UACGUAGGGGGCAAGCGUUGUCCGGAAUCAUUGGGCGUAAAGCGCGUGUAGGCGGUUCGGUAAGUCUGCUGUGAAAGUCCAGGGCUCAACCCUGGGAUGCCGGUGGAUACUGUCGAACUAGAGUACGGAAGAGGCGAGUGGAAUUCCCGGUGUAGAGGUGAAAUGCGCAGAUAUCGGGAGGAACACCAAUUGCGAAGGCAGCUCGCUAGGACGUCACUGACGCUGAGACGCGAAAGCGUGGGGAGCAAACAGG
RNAcentral lists this ribosomal RNA (253 nucleotides) under uncultured bacterium. RNAcentral's name for it is "partial 16S ribosomal RNA". It matches the Rfam family "Bacterial small subunit ribosomal RNA", at positions 524 to 776 of the family's 1533-position model. The record is from RNAcentral.